RNAcentral lists this ribosomal RNA (497 nucleotides) under uncultured bacterium. RNAcentral's name for it is "partial 16S ribosomal RNA". It matches the Rfam family "Bacterial small subunit ribosomal RNA", at positions 28 to 507 of the family's 1533-position model. The record is from RNAcentral.
GAUGAACGCUGGCGGCGUGCCUAAUACAUGCAAGUCGAGCGAACAGAUAAGGAGCUUGCUCCUUUGACGUUAGCGGCGGACGGGUGAGUAACACGUGGGUAACCUACCUAUAAGACUGGGAUAACUUCGGGAAACCGGAGCUAAUACCGGAUAACAUUUGGAACCGCAUGGUUCUAAAGUGAAAGAUGGUUUUGCUAUCACUUAUAGAUGGACCCGCGCCGUAUUAGCUAGUUGGUAAGGUAACGGCUUACCAAGGCAACGAUACGUAGCCGACCUGAGAGGGGGAUCGGCCACACUGGAACUGAGACACGGUCCAGACUCCUACGGGGGGCAGCGGUAGGGAAUCUUCCGCAAUGGGCGAAAGCCUGACGGAGCAACGCCGCGUGAGUGAUGAAGGGUUUCGGCUCGUAAAACUCUGUUAUUAGGGAAGAACAAAUGUGUAAGUAACUGUGCACGUCUUGACGGUACCUAAUCAGAAAGCCACGGCUAACUACGUG